UGGAAACGGAGCUUAACACUGCAGAUGUCACGAGGAAACACCCCGUUUCUCGCUGAUUUCACUGUUUUCAGGAAUGGUUUAAUGUCUUCGAAAAAGUCCGUUAGCAUUUCUACCGUUUUCAGACGACGUAUCGUCAGAAAACUGUUCUGCGAUUUCAAGAGUGACAAAAUAAUCCUUCUACAACAGAAGGGAGUGUCCAAGAUUUCAAUAUUUCUGAAGGGAGCUGCUGACAGAGAUGUAGGAAGCGCUGAAAAGAUUCUUCAGUGCUGAUGGCCUGCUGCAUCCAGCAGAGUCGAAGUGAACCUACUGUAAGACAACAUCUCCAAGACGCUAUUGACCACAAGACUAGUACAGUUAUUAGAAACUGCACAGCACAGGACUUGCAGGACUUGUGAGGACUUCAGAUGAUACCAGUACUCAAAAGACCUUAGAUGAUGGCAACUAUAGAUGGACAUACAAACUACCGCCACUGCAAAAAAGAUUCUAAUUUGAAAGAAGUUUAUAAUGCAUGUUCGCUACUCCCAAUUCAGAAGACUGAAUCAGCCUGUGUAUCUGAAUGUUUCUCAUACUCACUCCUCUCUGCCGCGUCUGAAUUUAGCUGUCAGUUAUAAACGUCAAAAUUAAAAGAAAUAAACAUUUGAAAUAUAUCAGUCUAUGUGUAAUGAAUAAAUAUAAUAUACAAGUUUCACUUUUUUAAUGGAAUUAGAGAAAUAAAUCAACUUUUUGAUGAUAUUCUAAUUAUAUGACCAGCACCUGUAUAUCAUUGCUCUUUUGUUGAUUUUGAUUGCUUCCAUUGUCCUCAUUUGUAAGUUGCUUUGGAUAAAAGUGUCUGCUAAAUGUAAAUGUAAUGUUAAUGUGUAUUUAACUAUAUUUAUAAAUAUUUAUCUGUAUUUUUUAUUUUGUAAUAAUGUAAAUGUAUUUGUUUUAUAUAUAUAUACACACAUGCAGUUGUAUUCAUGUAUGUAUAUUAAUUUGUCUAAUUUUUAUAUUUUAAUAAAGCAGUUUAAAC
This is a long non-coding RNA of Carassius gibelio (silver crucian carp), 1009 nucleotides long. RefSeq lists it as uncharacterized. NCBI's taxonomy places the organism in Eukaryota, Metazoa, Chordata, Actinopteri, Cypriniformes, Cyprinidae. The transcript is spliced from 6 exons. The record is from RefSeq and is a predicted model, not a curated record.